Molecule: ribosomal RNA, 253 nt
Filed under: uncultured bacterium
Lineage: Bacteria
Description: partial 16S ribosomal RNA
Rfam family: Bacterial small subunit ribosomal RNA
Source: RNAcentral
UACGUAGGGGGCUAGCGUUGUCCGGAAUCAUUGGGCGUAAAGAGCGCGUAGGCGGCCAGAUAAGUCCGGUGUGAAAGUCAAAGGCUCAACCUUUGAAUGCCGCUGGAAACUGUCUGGCUAGAGUCCGGGAGGGGCGAGUGGAAUUCCUGGUGUAGCGGUGAAAUGCGCAGAUAUCAGGAGGAACACGAAUGGCGAAGGCAGCUCGCUGGAACGGUACUGACGCUGAGGCGCGAAAGCGUGGGGAGCAAACAGG